CCUACGGGGGGCAGCAGUGGGGAAUAUUGGACAAUGGGGGGAACCCUGAUCCAGCCAUGCCGCGUGUGUGAAGAAGGCCCUCGGGUUGUAAAGCACUUUCAGUGAGGAAGAACGCCUGGUGGUUAAUACCCAUCAGGAAAGACAUCACUCACAGAAGAAGCACCGGCUAACUCCGUGCCAGCAGCCGCGGUAAUACGGAGGGUGCGAGCGUUAAUCGGAAUUACUGGGCGUAAAGCGCGCGUAGGUGGCUUGAUAAGCCGGUUGUGAAAGCCCCGGGCUCAACCUGGGAACGGCAUCCGGACCUGUCAAGCUAGAGUGCAGGAGAGGAAGGUAGAAUUCCCGGUGUAGCGGUGAAAUGCGUAGAGAUCGGGAGGAAUACCAGUGGCGAAGGCGGCCUUCUGGACUGACACUGACACUGAGGUGCGAAAGCGUGGGUAGCAAACAGGAUUAGAUACCCUUGUAGUC
Molecule: ribosomal RNA, 465 nt
Filed under: Vreelandella stevensii
Lineage: Bacteria; Pseudomonadati; Pseudomonadota; Gammaproteobacteria; Oceanospirillales; Halomonadaceae
Description: partial 16S ribosomal RNA
Rfam family: Bacterial small subunit ribosomal RNA
Source: RNAcentral